UACGGGAGGCAGCAGUGGGGAAUAUUGGACAAUGGGCGAAAGCCUGAUCCAGCAAUGCCGCGUGAGCGAUGAAGGCCUUAGGGUUGUAAAGCUCUUUUACCAGGGAUGAUAAUGACAGUACCUGGAGAAUAAGCUCCGGCUAACUCCGUGCCAGCAGCCGCGGUAAU
Molecule: ribosomal RNA, 167 nt
Filed under: uncultured bacterium
Lineage: Bacteria
Description: partial 16S ribosomal RNA
Rfam family: Bacterial small subunit ribosomal RNA
Source: RNAcentral